RNAcentral lists this transfer-messenger RNA (402 nucleotides) under Luteithermobacter gelatinilyticus. Its description in RNAcentral is "Alphaproteobacteria transfer-messenger RNA". It matches the Rfam family "Alphaproteobacteria transfer-messenger RNA". Rfam says of the family: Bacterial tmRNA, also known as 10Sa RNA or SsrA, is named for its dual tRNA and mRNA-like properties. Its role is to liberate the mRNA from a stalled ribosome. The record is from RNAcentral. Lineage: Bacteria; Pseudomonadati; Pseudomonadota; Alphaproteobacteria; Emcibacterales; Emcibacteraceae.
AUUUAAAUUUUAACCACUCAUGCCUAUAUUAGGGGGGUCGACAGAGUCGACUAUGGCGAUAAACGAAUAUAUGAAAUAAGCGUAUCGGACCCGGGGGCGGUACCCGGCGCCUCCACCAUAAGAAUAACGCCACGGGGUAUAAGCGCCGCAAAAGCGGCCAGAAAUACCACCAGAAAUACCAGACGAAAAAAUUGUCGUGAUUGUAUUUUGAGGGCGUAUUUUUAUGAUGGGGGCGAAAUUAGGAUCGACGAGCGUGGUAAAGAUAUAUUCUUCGCCCAGUAUGACACCGCUGUGAUGGGUCAUCUAAAAUAAAUGCUAACGAUAACGAAGCAUUUGCUGUAGCCGCUUAAUAUAGCAUCGCUACGCGGGGUUCGGAGGGCACCUAGCAACAGAAGCCCUUCA